GAUGAAGAACGUAGCGAAAUGCGAUAAGUAAUGUGAAUUGCAGAAUUCAGUGAAUCAUCGAAUCUUUGAACGCACAUUGCGCCCGCCAGUAUUCUGGCUGGCAUGCCUGUCCGAGCGUCAUUUCAACCCUCGAACCCCUCCGGGGGGUCGGCGUUGGGGAUCGGCCCUUUCACCGGGUGCCGGCCCCUAAAUACAGUGGCGGUCUCGCCGCAGCCUCUCAUGCGCAGUAGUUUGCACACUCGCACCGGGAGCGCGGCGCGUCCUCGUCCGUAAAACACCCCAAACUUCUGAAAUGUUGACCUCGGAUCAGGUAGGAAUACCCGCUGAACUUAAGCAUAUCAAUAAGCGGAGGA
Molecule: unclassified non-coding RNA, 353 nt
Filed under: soil metagenome
Description: partial contains 5.8S ribosomal RNA, internal transcribed spacer 2, and large subunit ribosomal RNA
Rfam family: 5.8S ribosomal RNA (bases 1-120)
Source: RNAcentral